Molecule: ribosomal RNA, 406 nt
Filed under: uncultured bacterium
Lineage: Bacteria
Description: partial 16S ribosomal RNA
Rfam family: Bacterial small subunit ribosomal RNA
Source: RNAcentral
AUUGAACGCUGGCGGCAGGCCUAACACACGCAAGUCGAACGAGUGGCGGACGGGUGAGUAAUGUCUGGGAAACUGCCUGAUGGAGGGGGAUAACUACUGGAAACGGUAGCUAAUACCGCAUACCAUCGGAUGUGCCCAGAUGGGAUUAGCUAGUAGGUGGGGUAAUGGCGCACCUAGGCGACGAUCCCUAGCUGGUCUGAGAGGAUGACCAGCAACACUGGAAUGGAGACACGGUCCAGAUUCCUACGGGAGGCAGCAGGGGGGAAUAUUGAACAAUGGGAGCAAGCCGGAUGCAGCCAUGCCGCGUGUAUGAAGAAGGCCGUCGGGUUGUAAAGUACUUUCAGCGGGGAGGCGUUACCCGAAGAAGAAGCACCGGCUAACUCCGUGCCAGCAGCCGCGGUAAUAC